This 253-nucleotide ribosomal RNA is filed under the name uncultured bacterium. RNAcentral describes it as "partial 16S ribosomal RNA". It matches the Rfam family "Bacterial small subunit ribosomal RNA", at positions 524 to 776 of the family's 1533-position model. The record is from RNAcentral.
UACGUAGGUGGCGAGCGUUGUCCGGAUUUACUGGGCGUAAAGAGCUCGUAGGCGGUCUGUUGCGUCGGCUGUGAAAACCCGGGGCUCAACCCCGGGCCUGCAGCCGAUACGGGCAGACUAGAGUUCGGCAGGGGAGACUGGAAUUCCUGGUGUAGCGGUGAAGUGCGCAGAUAUCAGGAGGAACACCGGUGGCGAAGGCGGGUCUCUGGGCCGAUACUGACGCUGAGGAGCGAAAGCGUGGGGAGCGAACAGG